UGGGGAAUCUUGCACAAUGGGGGAAACCCUGAUGCAGCGACGCCGCGUGAGCGAUGAAGCCCUUCGGGGUGUAAAGCUCUUUCGGCAGGGAAGAUGAUGACGGUACCUGCAGAAGCAGCUGCGGCUAACUACGUGCCAGCAGCCGCGGUAAUACGUAGGCAGCAAGCGUUGUUCGGAGUUACUGGGCGUAAAGGGUGUGUAGGCGGUCGAUCAAGUUUGGUGUGAAAUCUCCCGGCUCAACUGGGAGGGUGCGCCGAAUACUGAUGGACUCGAGUGCGGGAGAGGAAAGUGGAAUUCCUGGUGUAGCGGUGAAAUGCGUAGAUAUCAGGAGGAACACCGGUGGUGUAAACGGCUUUCUGGACCGUAACUGACGCUGAGACACGAAAGCGUGGGUAGCAAACA
This 402-nucleotide ribosomal RNA is filed under the name uncultured prokaryote. RNAcentral describes it as "bacterial SSU rRNA". It matches the Rfam family "Bacterial small subunit ribosomal RNA", at positions 355 to 774 of the family's 1533-position model. The record is from RNAcentral.